RNAcentral lists this transfer RNA (363 nucleotides) under uncultured Microcystis sp. RNAcentral's name for it is "partial 16S-23S ribosomal RNA intergenic spacer". The stretch from base 135 to 208 matches the Rfam family "tRNA". Lineage: Bacteria; Bacillati; Cyanobacteriota; Cyanophyceae; Chroococcales; Microcystaceae. The record is from RNAcentral.
AAGGGAGACCUAAUUCAGGUAGGAGACGAAAAAAAAGUAGUCGCUACCAAGAAUCAAUCCCAAAAGGUCGGAGCGAGGCGAAAUUGGCUUUCAAACUAGGUUCUGGGUUCACACAAGACCUGAAUCAGGAACAAGGGCUAUUAGCUCAGGUGGUUAGAGCGCACCCCUGAUAAGGGUGAGGUCCCUGGUUCGAGUCCAGGAUGGCCCACCUGUACAGGUGGCAAAAAGAAAGAAAAGAAGCGAGGAAUCAGCACCUUAUCUUACUGACAUAGUAAGAGAGAAUGCUGGCUCUGAGUAAAGAGUCCAGAGGAACCUUGAAAACUGCAUAGAGCUAGGUGGAAAAGCCAAAAAAGAAGACCGCAA